This 464-nucleotide ribosomal RNA is filed under the name uncultured bacterium. RNAcentral describes it as "partial 16S ribosomal RNA". It matches the Rfam family "Bacterial small subunit ribosomal RNA", at positions 338 to 795 of the family's 1533-position model. The record is from RNAcentral.
CCUACGGGUGGCAGCAGUGGGGAAUCUUCCGCAAUGGGCGAAAGCCUGACGGAGCAACGCCGCGUGAUCGAAUGAAGGCCUUCGGGUUGUAAAGAUCUGUUGACAGGGACGAAUAAGCAAUGCGAAUAGUCUUGUGUAUGACGGUUACUGUUUAGAAAGCUCCGGCUAACUACGGGCCAGCAGCCGCGGUAAUACGUAGGGAGCAAGCGUUGUCCGGAAUUACUGGGCGUAAAGGGCGCGUAGGUGGGCGCUUAAGUCAGGUGUGAAAACUCCGGGCUCAACCUGGAGACUGCACUUGAAACUGGGUGUCUUGAGGGCAGGAGAGGAAAGUGGAAUUCCUGGUGUAGGGGUAAAAUGCGUAGAGAUCAAGAGGAAUACUCAUUGCGAAGGCAGCCUACUAGAACAUAACUGACGCUGAUGCGCGAAAGCGUGGGGAGCAAACAGGAUUAGAUACCCCAGUAGUC